Cavia porcellus (domestic guinea pig) is the source of this 10923-nucleotide RNA transcript. It is a transcript of the gene named ataxin 1 like, with no coding region annotated. The record is from RefSeq and is a predicted model, not a curated record. The transcript is spliced from 4 exons. Lineage: Eukaryota; Metazoa; Chordata; Mammalia; Rodentia; Caviidae.
CCUGGAGGGGGGCGCUGGGUGUGGGGCGGCUCCAGGGCCGGGGAUGGCGGUUGCUGUGGCUCCAGGACGAUCGGGAGGAGCCCAGGGAGCGCUGUGAGAUGGGCCGACUCCCAGAUCAGCCGGGAGCACGCUUACCACAGCUGCUUGGAAGUACCAGCAGUUCAGGUAAGCAAGUGCCUUUCAAGAGUGAUGAACUGCUGUGGUGCACCAUGUAAUCCCAGCACUUGGGAGUCAGAGGGUUUUCCACCAUGAAGACACAGGACUGCCCCAGGGAAAGUUGCUAUUUUGCCUAAGAAACACUGCAGUAAAGGAUUAGCAGCUCUCCUGUCAUGCUUCUUGUAGGAGUCCUCAGGAAACAGUAUAGUGAGAAAGUGACACCUCAAGUAACAUUUUGACACAUUUGCAGGCAUAGUCUCAUACACCUUAAAAAGUAAGCUUUCAAUUUGUAAAGGUGGCUAUUCUACCUGGAAAGAAAUGGGGAGUUUUAGCAAGGAGAGCUGAGAGUAGUGGGUGCAGAGUCGUAGGAGUGGAAAAGGAAAGUGGGUAUAAUGAGGGCUGUGUCUGAGGGGCAGGUUCUGGUGCUGUGGAAGAAGAGGCUUUGUCAAGACUGACAUAUGGAUGAGAAGCAUCAGGGCUGAUUAGGAGGGUAGGGCAUUCCAGGACUCAGGAGCCAUUUGAGCUGGGCAUGGUGGUACACUCCUAUAAUCCUAGCCCUUGGAAGGUUGAGGCAGGAGGAUCACCAUGAGCUGGAGGUCAGCUUAGUCUACACAGUAUGUUCAAGGCCAGCCUGCCUAGCCUACAUAAUGAGAUUCUGUCUCAAAAAAACAUUUUUUUUUAAAAGCCAUUUUUCACUUGCCUCAUGCUCUACUAGUUUGUUCCCACCAACAGGCUGCUCUGCAUUCUCUAAGUCUUUUUCCACUUUGACCACCCCGCCAUCUUCCUCUGAUGUGUGGGAAGAGACUUCAUCUUGUGUGGUCUCCUCUUCAUCACCCUCACUGUCACCUGGAACAUACAAACUGGUCAUUUGUUCUGAGUUUUGCAGGAAUACGUCCUGAACUGCUAUCCACCCUGCAGUUUGCAGCUAUAAUGAAAAACAUUUUCAGAUCUUCCAUAAUAUAGUUUAAAUUUGUGUCUAGUUGGGCACAAAUCAUGUGAAGUGUAAAGCAGCUAUCACUGUUAUGCCAUAUACACACAAAUGAAAAAAAUGGAGACAGAAUGGAGACUACAUUGGAAAAUGGCUACUGGGUCCUCUACAUUAUCACAAAAAUUAUCCUUGAGUGAAUAGUUCUCAAAUAUCUCACACUUCAAAUCAUACCUCUCAAGUACCUUAUAACAGGCUGUUUCCCACAACAUGCAACUUCUGACUUACCAUCAUUUCUUGCUGAUAUUUUACUUACUUUUCCCCAAAAUCUCUGCAUAAUUUCUCCAUGGUGUCACAGACUAUUUUAUCCUGAGCUCCACUAAUAUGUUUUCCCCCAACAAAUCUUAAGGAAACACCAGUAAGUCUUUCUUCCCUUAUCAAUAAAAAGGCAGUACUAAAAAUGAUGUCACUCUAAAGUCUGUUCAUUAAAGUAGAAAACUUAGCACAGCAACCUCAAGCACUUUGUUGUGGUAUCUAGCUCUGUUUUUAUUCCACUAGUGAUGCAGCAUUCAAAACUCAAUAUAUAUAUAUAUUUUUUUGGUGCGACACUCUCGCUAUGUAGUUCAGGCUGGUCUUGAACUCUCAGUGAUCUUCCUGCCUCAGCUUCAGUGCUAGGAUUAUGGGAAUGUAGCACCACCACACCCAGCUCAAUAUUUCUACUGUCUCUAUUGUUUCUUUGCAUUAACUAAAUGCAUUAAGUAGAAAGAAUGGGUUUUUCUUCACUUUAGAAUUUAAUGCUAUUGGGUCUGGGGGUUUAGCUCAGUGGCAUAAGCACCUGCCUUACAAGCAGGUGGUUGUGAGUUCGAUCCCCGGUACCAAUAAAAAUGAAAAAGACAAAAAAAAAAAAAAAAAAAAAAAAAAAAGAAUUUAAUGCUAUUUCUUGUGAUUUAAGUAGAAUUGAGUUUUAGUUUUGGUGACAGGAUGUGGCUGGUUUGCAUGAGCUGAUGGUUUUUUUCUCUAUUAUUUAUAAAACGGUAAAAAAAAUUAAAAAAAAACUUUACUGCAUAAUAACAAAUGGAGUUCUUUCUAAAAGGAAAAAACUAGCACCCUAACAAUCACAAGAGGAAGCCAAACCUAUGGAAGCUGUCAGAAUUCAUCCCUAUCCCAACUUCACCCAGAUCCUGGACUCCUGGAUCUGAUGUAAGUAAAGAGACAUACAUGGUAGAGUUUUUAGGUUCUUUGCAUCCACAGUGAGAUUCAGAUUUUCUCAUUAAUAGUGCUGCUUGUCUUCUCUCUACUAUCCUUUGCGUAAUUUCAAAUUCACUAAUAUCUGAACAAAACAUUAUAUUUCUCUUUCUCCAUGAGAAAGUCCCACCAUUCAUUAUAGUUGUUAUGAUCUACUCUGAGGGCUGUGGUGUAGGAAGAUCUAGAGUAUACCAUUUUAUAUACUGCAUAAUCUUAUCACUAAGCAAAUCUUGUGUAACAUUAAAACUAUGCCCUCCAGCAAAAAUUCACCAAUGCCACUCGUUUUAUUAAUUGUGAAUAAAUAGAUCCUGGGAGAUAGAGAUUUUUUUUUCAUUUGACCUAAUCCAGGGACCACACAAGCAUUGAUUAUCCUAUGUUUCUAUUGCAACCAUUGCGAACUUCCAGUGUAAGGCACUGUUGUACAGAGUAUUGUAGUCCAUGAGUUAAAGAAAAUAUAAUGCCAAACCUGAUUUUUCUCUUUCUUCCUCUGAAUAAGCAUAAGUUCACAUCUUAGAGCACUUGCGGGAACACUCAAAAUCUACAUACUUGCUUCUCUGUGUCUUCCUCCCAACCCCCAUGCACAAUCCCAGAGCACACACUCUGAUAAUUCUUCUCCCAUUGCCCUGAGUCAUUACCAGAAGGUGCAGAACUCACUGCUACUGGAGUCCUGAUCUCUUAGUUGUUGGAUAGCUUGUCGCUGACUGCCAAGGUCUCCAGGAAAAUCAGUUUUCAUCAUCGCCUGGCGGGCUUGCUCUUCUAGCCCAGCAAAUACUUGAUCCCCUGGUGGUCACAAGGAAAAAUAGUCAGGCCACCAGCUGGGAAGCAUAUCCCCAGGCAAGCUCAUUGGAAGGUCAGACCAUUCAAAGGUAGGAGACAGGCAGGUACCCUGUGGUAAGGUCAUUCAUCUCUAAGUCAGCUUGCUUUUCUCCAACAGCUUCUGUACAUAGCUGCUCUUCCUGGGCAGUAAGCCAGAUGCACUAGAAAACAUCACUUCUCUUAAAUGUUCUUAUUUCUGAGUCUGUUCAAAAGGUGAACAACUGCUACUUUAUGAAUUUAAUUGCAGGCUCUCAGUUCCAUUUACAAUUUCCAUCAGGAUUGAGGAACAGAGGCAAAAUGAAGGGAUGGAUAACCGGGCAACAAAUCUGGACAAAAUCCCUAUUCCUUAAGUUACUAGCAUUAUCUUGAACUGCAAACAAGUGCUUCAAAUAAUCCUUCUAAAUAAAUUUCAUCUUCAUCCCAUCUCAUUUUUCAUCCACUGUCUUUUCUAGAUAUGCUCUGAAAGUUCUUCCUUUACUUUCUUUUUAAUGCCUAUCAGAAUUUGCAUGAGAAAACCAACUGUUGAAAAUUGGACAAAGAGAACAAAUAACAUACAAACUCAUUUCUUCUGUUUUUCCUGAAAACACAUCAACUAAUUUAUACCAAACAAUAUUUACUGUAUAUAGUCUCCUUGGGACGGUGUGCCCUUGCCCCCUUUCGGGACCCAAAGCCCUGGUCACAUCUUUGAUUUUGCAUUUACUUCUGAUGAACUUUGCCUGGGAUCCAUGUAGUUACUGAAGAGUUAACAUUUAAAUGCCCUUUUAUUUCCAGGAUACCAGGCAUAAGGAGAAGAGUUGGGUUUCUCCAGGUUUCCAUUAUCUCAAAGGGAAAACUAUAGUCCCCAUUACCCAGCCAGCAAGAAGCUUAAUAAAAAGCCCUCAUGACAUGUUUGACAAUAGAGUAGGCCCUUUAAAAAGGCUCAGGUUCUGAGCUAGAAUACAAUGAUGUAGGAAAAAUGAAUUGGUGAGGUGAUCUGUACUGCUAGUCCUUGGGCAGCGAAAAAAUACUGUAGUUCAGGCUGGCUCUGAACUCACUAUGUAGCUCAAGUUGGCCUAAAAUUCAUGGCAGUCCUGCCUCAGCUUCCCAAGUGUUGGGAUUACGGUGUGCCUGGCUGGUAGUGAAAAAUACUGAGGUGGGAGUAUGUUUCAUGUAACUUACUUGGUCUUUUGUUCAGCAAAUAUUCAUUGAAUGUCUACCAUACAUUAAAUGUUGAAUAUGAACUAUAAUUACUAUGCUAGUUCCAAGCUCUACACUACAUGCAUUAUAGUCGUUACACUACUGCUCUUACUUCUUAGUAUUACCACUUACAUAUAAUUUACUAUGGAGAAAAUAAGAUCUAUUUGGAACCAACCAUCUAAACCUAAGUCUGACCAACUAUAACAUCUUUUUUUCCCAACACUUGGGAUUGAACUCAGGGCCUUUGCACUGAGCUACGUCCAUAGCCCAUUUAUAUUUUAAGACAGAGUCUUUAAAACUUUUUUUUUGUCUUUUUCGUUUUUAUCGAUACCAGGGAUCGGACUCACAACUGUCUGCUCGCAAGGCAGGCACUUAUGCCGCUAAGCUAAAUCCCCAGCCCCUAAGACAGAGUCUUGAUAAGUUACUAAGUUGUUCAGCUCAGUUCAUACUUGUGGUCCUCCUGCUAAGGUGCUGAUAUCAUAGCUUGUUCCACCAUGCCUGGCUCUAAUGUCUUUCUUUUUUUGGUGCUGAGCUUGAAUCCAGGGCCUUGCAUAUGUUACAAAUGCACUCUUAUCACUGAGCUAUACCCUUACCCACUAAGGUCCAUAGUUUUUAAGUUUAAAGUUUAAGUUUUAAGUUUUCUAGUAGAGCUAAGAGUUCAAGAUUAAAACAAUCAUCGAAGUGGUUUUGCUAAUAACAAAUGUUUCUCUCUCUGUGGGAAAAAUGGAUCUUAGCUUGGUACUGGUGUUAUCCUUGUACCAUAAGAAACUUACACACAACUUAAAUAUCAAAAUAGUGUUCUGAAGGCCAGUAUAUGACAAAAGGAAAAAUGAUGGUUCUCAAACCACAUCAUGAAUUACCAUGCCUGGAUUAGAGUAACUCACAUUGUGGCAACUAUGACUCACCCUGUGGGUGGGAACGGAGGUGGAGAGUGUUAAAGUAUACUCCUAGCUACACAGCCCUCAAGUAAAGGAAAAAUAAGUUGUUGAAAGUCAUCUUCACAGUAUCUAAGGUGACACAUUAGAUAUAAAUUACUCCUAGAGAAGCAAAAAAUGAGUUCUGUGCUGAGUGCUUUCUUAUAUUUCUCUGCAGAAGUAAAAUAUUUAAUUUCUCCGUGUUGGUUUCACUGAAACCCUAAGAUCACAGCCAACCAGGAUAGUUUUUCAAUUCUUCUAGGUAUGUAUGUUUUUGGACCAAACGGUCAUGAGCAGACAUGGCACGAAGGAAAAAGUUAUAUGCUAUAGUAUAAUUAUCAAAGGCAGACCAUCCUUGUCAGUGAUACUUUUAGUCUCUAAAGAAACCUAGGUGGAAACCAGUGAGGUUUUUAACGUGCCAAGAAUGAACAAUACUAUUUUCCCUUUUGUACUGGGGAAUCACCACUGGAUUAGCAGAAAGGCAUCUAAAAGGAUAUGUACCUUUCAAGAUGAGUCAGUAACUGCUUAGUCUUUAUCAACCCAAACUCAAAAUUUAUUUUUGUCUACUGAUGUUGCUUAAAUAUAAUUUGUCUAUCUAACACUUGCUGGCAAUCUCACCUGUGAUAACUGAGAUAGAUUAAUUCUGUCAUUCCUUUUUGGCAGUUUAUGCUCUUUUAUUCUAUUCCUGAUUGGGAAAAAUAGCUAAGCUUAAAGUUUUUCCUCAAGGCUAUUCCUGUUUUAAGGACCACUAUAAAACAAAAUAUAUGAAACCUUGAAAAAGAAGCAGUUCUAGGAGACACCUUAAGAAAAGGGAAGUGAGUCACCUUUUGGUAGUCACUUUUAGCAAGCUUUUGAAGUUGCUUGUCCAGGAUUAGCCUUCUCAUAAGAAGUAGAACUUACUAAAGUUGUGUCACAUUAUCUCAGGAAUAAUGUGAUCCACAGAAAUACCAAUUAUUAAGGUGUUACAAGGGCUGGGGAUAUGGCUUGUCUGGCAAUAUGAGGUCGUGAGUUCGAUUUCCGGCUCAAAAAAAAAGAUAUUUGCUUAAAGUGUUAUAGUAUUAGCUAGCUAUGGUGGUACAUGCCUGUUACCCCAGCAGCCUGGGAGGCUGAGAUAGGAAAAUCACCUACCUUGAGUGACUUAGCAAGAUCCCAUCUCAAAAUAAAUAUAAAAAGGUAUAAAAAAAAUCAUCUGGUCCCUAGACACUAAGGUAGGGUAAUUAGCUCAGUGUAAAGGUCUUGGGUUCAAUCCUCAGUCACACACAGAUAGUGUUAUAAAAUUGCCUGUUUUUAUAAUGUAAAAUUAUUUCUAUUUUGAGACAGUUGGAGGUUUAAAAAAAUCAUCUGGUCCCUAGACACUAAUGUAGGGUAAUUAUCUUAUUAAAUAUGGGCAUUUGUCUAUUAAUAAUUGGGCUCCACUACAAAAAGGUACUACAUCUACUUUUUUUGGUACAAAAAUCGAAACACUGUUUUGUCUUUGAUUUGGCUUAGGUUUUUCAGAUCAUAUAAGAAUGAGCCCAUGGGGCCUGGGGAUUUAGCUCAGCAGCAUAAGCGCCUGCCUUGCAAGCAGGCAGUUGUGAGUUCAAUCCCCAGUACCGAUAAAAAGGAAAAAGACAAAAAAAAAAAAAAAAAAAAAAAAAAGAAUUUCUCUUUCUUGGAUCCUUAGUACAGUUAACAAAUGCAAUUUCAGACUGAUUAAAAUUAAAUAAAGCAGUGAAAACAUAUUCUCUAAGGGAGCAGAUGUCAAGGUCAGAAAAAAAGGAGCUAGUGGAAGUGAGGAGCUUAGGAUUCCAUUUGGAGCUGACAGUUGUAACCCAGGUGGUAUCACAUGUUGGGAACACAGCCAUUACCUUACAAGAAUGCCAAACAGAAUGAAUGAAGACAAAAGAACUUGUGCUUUUUAGAAGUGAAAGGAAUGUACAGGCUUUUAUUCCUUCUCUUAAGAAAAGCUUUUAGUUGAAGUUUUCUAGUCUUUCAUGUAUCUUAAGAUUUCUUUUCUUAGUGGUUUAUUUGGUUCAAACUCCCUACAUUUGAGCACUAUAAAAGACUCUGCUUUCGGCCUUUCUAGAAGUGACAGGAUCUGUACUCAGAAAGGGGUGAGAUGGAGGCAAAAAUGGAAAAGGUAUAAAACAGCAAUGCAGCAACAGUGUCUCCAUGACUAACAAUUCUGAACUUUUAUUGCAACUGAGUCUAUUAAUGAAGCAAGUGGGCAAAAGAUAAAAAGAGUUUGUGUGAAUAUUUUUGAGGAAAGAAUCAUUCCAGCAUAUGAUAUAAAAAGUCUUCAGGAAAACCAAAUAACUGCCAAACCAGCCUCUCAAUCUAGAGUAGAUCUGACACAUGUUGCUGGGCCAUGGCCGUGGGAUUCUUAAUAUAUCCUUUUAGGCGUGCUUUUAGCAUCAUGCCACAUAAUCUUCUUUCCAGAAGGCAGAUGUAAUGAAGCUCAGCCAUUAUUCUGCUCAAGUGCUGGUUGGUUUUGACUUUUAAGCAAAGCUUCUGCAGACUUUCCUGCUUUCCAGAGCUUUAGUCCACUCCAUUUACUUUAAAUAGACAAACAGCAUUAAGUUCAAUACAUGAUUGGCUCCAUUUCACUGCAAGGUGCAUAGGAGCCUCAAAUUUUCAGAAAAUUAAAAUUACCUACUACUUCUGCUUGCCAUUAUUGUCAUGGGUAAUGAGAAGAUGAUCUUUCAAAAAGGGUGGGGUCAAGCUAAGCGUGGUGGCACAUGCCUGUAAUCUAGCAUUUAAGGACAAUGAAGCAGGAGGAUCAUUGCAAAUUUGAGGCCAACCCGGGCUACAUAGUGAAUUCAAGGCCAGCCUGAACUACAUGUUAUUUUCAUUAGUCAAGUUUAGUCCAUCACCUGAACAGCCUUCACAGCUCCUUGCCCAGAUGUAUCACUUAAAACAGCCCCUUCUUGGGGCUUACUUUUCAGUUGCUGUGGGAUACUUGUGUUUCUAGCCCCACAGUAAAGACUUGCUUAAUAAACAGCCUGUGAAGUCCCACCCAUUCUACAAACAGUACAACAUGCACUUGCUUGACUCUGGAAAUAGAUUUCUGUAGCUGUGAAUGUGUGGUAUUUUCUCCUUCUUCAUGGCCUGUUUGAUUUUGUUUUCCAACUCCAACACCAACAGCAGUUCAUCUUGCCUUUGACUAAUUAGGGUGAGAGGAGAUGCAACUGAUGGAUAUACGCUAUGUGGAUGUAAGCACAGGCCAACAAGCCUUUGCUGGUUCCUCUGGCCUUAAUACAACUAUGCCAUCACCUCCUCCAGCUACUUUUCCCAAAUCUAAUCAGACUCUGUACAAGUAGCUUUAAGAAAUGAAUACUCGGGGCUGGGGAUUUAGCUCAGCGGCAUAAGCACCUGCCUUGCUAGCAGGCGGUCGUGAGUUUGAUCCCCGGUACUGAUAAAAAUGAAAAAGACAAAAAAAAAAAAAAAAAAGAAAGAAAGAAAAGAAAUGAAUACUCAACUCCUUUAAUUGCCUUAUUUGUAAACCCAUCAUUUCUAUGAAGGGUAUCUUUCCUGCUCUGUCUUCUUGUGGUCUGUAUUUAUAUCUUUUUAAUCUCUGACCACAGAAGGGAAGACAAUCCUCUUGAACCUGUGUUCGAUGACUUACUGUAGACACACUUAACUUUAUCUCCCUUCACAAGUUUCACAUUGAGGCACAUUGCAUCUCAAGUGUUUUAGCACUUACUUCUAAAUCUUCAUAAAUCACUUACCUUUAUAUUAAGCUGUCUUGCAUAUCUACUUAUUCUAGAAAUACACUUUUUUUUGGAGACAUGGUCUUAUGCUGUAAUUCAGACUGGCCUUGAACUCUUGGUGACCCUCCUACCUCAGCCUCCUGAGUGCUAGGAUUAUAGAUGUGUGCUACAGUAUCUGCCCAGAAUACAUCUUGAAGCAUCUAACUGGUCUCAUCUUAUAGAACCUUCCCAGGACUUACAAAGAAUAAUAUAUGUGAAGACUGCUACCCUAGUCUCAUUAAUUUAUAAAAAGUCAAAGUCAUCUUAAUUCCUUUGUAUAAAAUAUUUUCUUUUCUGCUCUUAAAAUUACUGAAAAGAAGAGUUAUCACAGUGCUUGGCAUAUAAUAUGUUUUUAAUAAACUUUAAUUAAUUCCUUGGCUAAACUAUCCUCUCAAAUGCAGUGUUUUUGGUUUUUUGUUUAACCUUAAAACAAAAUCUUGCACGUUAUGCCUUUGAAUUUUCUUCAAAGAUUGUUGCACUUUACUUUUUUUUUUUGGUCUUUUUCCUUUUUAUUGGUACCGGGGAUCAAACUCACGACUGCCUGCUUCCAAGGCAGGUGCUUAUGCCGGUGAGCUAAAUCCCCAGCCCCUGUUGCACUUUACUUAAACAGUCUGCCAUAAAGGUAACUAUUUGUCUCCUGUAUGAUCAUUUGUCUAAGAAUGCUUAUCCCCCCAGAUCGUAAAAAAAUGGUUAUCUCGGAUCCACAUAGAUGUUACCGUUAAUUUUAAAGGGCAUUUUUGGAGCACCAUCUAUGAGCAGUGCCAAAAGUAGAGAGAUACACAGCACAUAAUCUCUGUUCCUUAGAAGUUCAGACUAGAAUAUGUACAUAUGAAACUGCUGAGAAACAAUACAGAGCAACAGUGCAUGCCUGUCUUCCUGUUCUAGCGUCCCUCAUGUGAUCCAUCCCACACACUGCUUCAUAUUACCAAAACUACAUUCUGAAUGUCACUCUUCUUUCUCUGUUCAAAAACCUUUGGUAGCUCUCUAAUCCACAAAAUGAAGUUUGCAUGUGGUCCAACAUUCAGGCCUCCAAAAUGUAGAAUUAAACAUCUCAAUUUUAUGUGUUAUGACUUCUGAAACUUCUGUUUUAUACAAAGUCUCCUCGCCCUCUGAACAUGCCAUGUGUGUUCCCUCUUGUAACUAGUCAUCAUUUUCCCACAUGAUUUUGCCUCUCCUUUUUCUCUCUCUUUUAUUCCACUCCACUUUCUAGUCUCUACAAUCCAAUUCAAGUUCAUGAUAGGGCCUCUUCCAUCAUGCAUUCUCUUGGUAUCUCAGUGCACAGAAUUCUUAAAUUUCUAAUCUCUUAAUAUCUGUAGCACAUACAGCCUGUAACAUCCUUAUUUGGCACUUAGCAUAUACUAUCUUGUAUGUGCAUGUGUAUCUGAGGCUACAUUACAGUUUUAUCUAUUUUGUUUUACAGCCUUAAUAUCUGCCAAAGUGCUUUGCAUAGGUAGGUAACCUAUAACUAUUACUGUGGAUUAAGGAUGAAUCAAAUGCACAAAUCCCUAAGACAGAUAUGUCUCCCUGUUUUACUCUAGUAACCACAUACACUUUAAGUCUGUGCAUCUAAUUUUUUUUUGGUCUUUUUGAGACAGGGUUCCACUAUGUAGUUCAGGCUGGUCUUGAGCUCACUUUGUCACCCAGGCUGGCCUCAAACUCACAGCAAUACUCCCUGAGUGCUAGGAUUAUAGGCGCGCAACACCACAAUUGGUAUCUCCAUAUAUCUAAAACUUUUAACACUUUCUUCUUUAAACAUUAGUGUAUGUCUUUCACCCUAAUUCAGGUUACUCUCUCAUUCUAUCCUUUAACAUUCUCAGAUUCCAGAAGGCAAGGCUCAGUACUCACAGUGAACUUUAUUUGGAUUUGUCUGUUUCCGGCGGGACAUGUUUUCCUGAUCUGAGAACUCUGACCUUUCCCAGCUUCACGACUGGAUAUGUUACUACCUUCUUGCAAGGUGCUAACC